CUACGGGGGGCUGCAGUGAGGAAUCUUGGACAAUGGGCGAAAGCCUGAUCCAGCGACGCCGCGUGGGUGACGAAGGCCUUCGGGUUGUAAAGCCCUGUCAGAGGGGAAGAAGUUCUGACGGUACCCUCAGAGGAAGCACAGGCUAACUCCGUGCCAGCAGCCGCGGUAAUACGGAGUGUGCAAGCGUUGCUCGGAAUCACUGGGCGUAAAGGGCGCGUAGGCGGCUUGGUAAGUUGGAUGUGAAAGCCCUCGGCUCAACCGAGGAACUGCAUCCAAAACUGCCUGGCUAGAGUACGGAAGAGGAAGGCGGAAUUCCCAGUGUAGGGGUGAAAUCCGUAGAUAUUGGGAAGAACACCAGUGGCGAAGGCGGCCUUCUGGGACGAUACUGACGCUGAGGCGCGAAAGCGUGGGGAGCAAACAGGAUUAGAUACCCUCGUAGUC
RNAcentral lists this ribosomal RNA (441 nucleotides) under uncultured bacterium. RNAcentral describes it as "partial 16S ribosomal RNA". It matches the Rfam family "Bacterial small subunit ribosomal RNA", at positions 339 to 795 of the family's 1533-position model. The record is from RNAcentral.